Long non-coding RNA from Erinaceus europaeus (western European hedgehog), 832 nucleotides. RefSeq lists it as uncharacterized. The transcript is spliced from 5 exons. The record is from RefSeq and is a predicted model, not a curated record. Lineage: Eukaryota; Metazoa; Chordata; Mammalia; Eulipotyphla; Erinaceidae.
CAGUGGGAGCAUUGGGGGGAACUUUGCCUCCUGCAGCAGUCCUGGAAUGGGGACUGGCAAGAGAGAGACUACAGGAAGGCUGCUGUUCCCAAGUUUCAACUGACACAGCUUGGAACACACUGUUUCUCUGGAGCACUGGAUUCUCAGUGCCAGCGCCGAGCCCCAGGGAUAACCCUGAUGGCAAUAAAAAAAAAAAAAAGAUAAUGAACAACAACUGGAGAUACUAAGAGAAAAAUAAAGAAGCUGAUCACAGCAAAGGGACAUUUCCCAAGGACAACCAGCUGCAAAGAUCAGAUUUGAACGAGCCAGGAGAUAUGGGCUCCACCCCUGCCCUGGCCUGCAGUGUCUGCAAAUCUUCUGAACUCUCUGACUCUCACCUGCAAUAGACCAUGACCGUGUGUCGAAAGAAGCACUCCAAACUGACUCCUGAGGAGGAAGAGAUCCUAAACAAAAAGCAGUCAAAGAAAAUUGAGAAGAAAUGUGAUGAAAGGAAAAAUGAAUGCCAAAAUCAGCAGUCUUCUUGAAGAGCAGGUCCAGCAGAGCAAGCUUCUUGCUUGCAUCGCUUCAAGACCAGGCUAGUGUGGCCGAGCAGAUGGUUCUGUGCUAGAGAACAAGGAGCUAGAGUUUUACCUGAGGAAAAUCAAGACUCAUAAAGGCAAAGAAACUGUCUUCUCUUGGUUCAUGUAAUAAAGGUUUUCAUUGUUCCUUAAAAAUUGAAGAAGAGAUAAAAAGGCCAACAAACAUGAAAAAUGCUCUAACUCGUUGAUUGUCAGAGAAAUGCAAAUACAGACAACAGUGAGAUACCACUUCACUCCUGUGAGAAUGUCAUGCA